UGGUGCAGAUGGUUAACAUUCUCAGCUGCUAACUGAAAAGUUGAUGGUUCAAAUCCAUC
Molecule: transfer RNA, 59 nt
Filed under: Loxodonta africana (African savanna elephant)
Lineage: Eukaryota; Metazoa; Chordata; Mammalia; Proboscidea; Elephantidae
Rfam family: tRNA
About the family: Transfer RNA (tRNA) molecules are approximately 80 nucleotides in length. Their secondary structure includes four short double-helical elements and three loops (D, anti-codon, and T loops). Further hydrogen bonds mediate the characteristic L-shaped molecular structure. tRNAs have two regions of fundamental functional importance: the anti-codon, which is responsible for specific mRNA codon recognition, and the 3' end, to which the tRNAs corresponding amino acid is attached (by aminoacyl-tRNA synthetases). tRNAs cope with the degeneracy of the genetic code in two manners: having more than one tRNA (with a specific anti-codon) for a particular amino acid; and 'wobble' base-pairing, i.e. permitting non-standard base-pairing at the 3rd anti-codon position.
Source: Rfam by way of RNAcentral